Molecule: ribosomal RNA, 490 nt
Filed under: uncultured bacterium
Lineage: Bacteria
Description: partial 16S ribosomal RNA
Rfam family: Bacterial small subunit ribosomal RNA
Source: RNAcentral
AGUGAACGCUGGCGGUAGGCCUAACACAUGCAAGUCGAACGGCAGCACAGUAAGAGCUUGCUCUUACGGGUGGCGAGUGGCGGACGGGUGAGGAAUACAUCGGAAUCUACUUUUUCGUGGGGGAUAACGUAGGGAAACUUACGCUAAUACCGCAUACGACCUACGGGUGAAAGCAGGGGAUCUUCGGACCUUGCGCGAUUGAAUGAGCCGAUGUCGGAUUGCUAGUUGGCGGGGUAAAGGCCCACCAAGGCGACGAUCCGUAGCUGGUCUGAGAGGAUGAUCAGCAAAACUGGAACUGAGAAACGGUCCAGAAUCCUACGGGAGGCAGCAGUGGGGAAUAUUGGACAAUGGGCGCAAGCCUGAUCCAGCCAUACCGCGUGGGUGAAGAAGGCCUUCGGGUUGUAAAGCCCUUUUGUUGGGAAAGAAAAGCAGCAGGUUAAUACCCCGCUGUUCUGACGGUACCCAAAGAAUAAGCACCGGCGAACUUCGU